GUGGGGAAUCUUAGACAAUGGGGGCAACCCUGAUCUAGCCAUGCCGCGUGAUCGAUGAAGGCCUUAGGGUUGUAAAGAUCUUUCAGCUGGGAAGAUAAUGACGGUACCAGCAGAAGAAGCCCCGGCUAACUCCGUGCCAGCAGCCGCGGUAAUACGGAGGGGGCUAGCGUUGUUCGGAAUUACUGGGCGUAAAGCGCACGUAGGCGGAUUGGAAAGUUGGGGGUGAAAUCCCGGGGCUCAACCCCGGAACUGCCUUCAAAACUCCCAGUCUUGAGGUCGAGAGAGGUGAGUGGAAUUCCGAGUGUAGAGGUGAAAUUCGUAGAUAUUCGGAGGAACAUCAGUGGCGAAGGCGGCUCACUGGCUCGAUACUGACGCUGAGGUGCGAAAGCGUGGGGAGCAAACAGGAUUAGAUACCCGGGUAGUCC
This 425-nucleotide ribosomal RNA is filed under the name uncultured bacterium. RNAcentral describes it as "partial 16S ribosomal RNA". It matches the Rfam family "Bacterial small subunit ribosomal RNA", at positions 354 to 796 of the family's 1533-position model. The record is from RNAcentral.